Molecule: non-coding RNA, 35 nt
Organism: Paenibacillus massiliensis 2301065 = DSM 16942
Lineage: Bacteria; Bacillati; Bacillota; Bacilli; Caryophanales; Paenibacillaceae
Source: Rfam
CUCUGGGUGGACUAAGAAACUCAGGGCGGAAAGAG